GUUAAAAUAGCUUAUAAUUAGAGCAUGACACUGAAGAUGUUGGGGAGGCUUAUUGGCCUUUAAGCA
This 66-nucleotide transfer RNA is filed under the name Medetera sp. Qilemoge-2020. Its description in RNAcentral is "tRNA-Phe". Lineage: Eukaryota; Metazoa; Arthropoda; Insecta; Diptera; Dolichopodidae. The record is from RNAcentral.